CGGCGCCUACGGGGCGCAGCAGUGGGGAAUAUUGCACAAUGGGGGGAACCCUGAUGCAGCAAUGCCGCGUGGGUGAAGAAGCACUCCGGUGCGUAAAGCCCUGUCAGCAGGGAAGAAAAUGACAGUACCUGACCAAGAAGCCCCGGCUAAAUACGUGCCAGCAGCCGCGGUAAUACGUAUGGUGCAAGCGUUAUCCGGAUUUACUGGGUGUAAAGGGAGCGCAGGCGGUGCGGCAAGUCUGAUGUGAAAGCCCGGGGCUCAACCCCGGGACUGCAUUGGAAACUACCGAACU
RNAcentral lists this ribosomal RNA (292 nucleotides) under uncultured bacterium. RNAcentral describes it as "partial 16S ribosomal RNA". It matches the Rfam family "Bacterial small subunit ribosomal RNA", at positions 332 to 642 of the family's 1533-position model. The record is from RNAcentral.